Molecule: ribosomal RNA, 492 nt
Filed under: uncultured bacterium
Lineage: Bacteria
Description: partial 16S ribosomal RNA
Rfam family: Bacterial small subunit ribosomal RNA
Source: RNAcentral
AGUGAACGCUGGCGGUAGGCCUAACACAUGCAAGUCGAACGGCAGCACAGUAAGAGCUUGCUCUUACGGGUGGCGAGUGGCGGACGGGUGGGGAAUACAUCGGAAUCUACUUUUUCGUGGGGGAUAACGUAGGGAAACUUACGCUAAUACCGCAUACGACCUACGGGUGAAAUCAGGGGAUCUUCGGACCUUGCGCGAUUGAAUGAGCCGAUGUCGGAUUAGCUAGUUGGCGGGGUAAAGGCCCACCAAGGCGACGAUCCGUAGCUGGUCUGAGAGGAUGAUCAGCCACACUGGAACUGCGACACGGUCCAGACUCCUACGGGAGGCAGCAGUGGGGAAUAUUGGACAAUGGGCGCAAGCCUGCUCCAGCCAUACCGCGUGGGUGAAGAAGGCCUUCGGGUUGUAAAGCCCUUUUGUUGGGAAAGAAAAGCAGCAGGUUAAUACCCCGCUGUUCUGACGGUACCCAAAGAAUAAGCACCGGCUAACUUCGUG